RNAcentral lists this ribosomal RNA (577 nucleotides) under uncultured eukaryote. RNAcentral describes it as "bacterial SSU rRNA". It matches the Rfam family "Eukaryotic small subunit ribosomal RNA", at positions 1288 to 1831 of the family's 1831-position model. The record is from RNAcentral.
CCGUUCUUAGUUGGUGGAGCGAUUUGUCUGGUUAAUUCCGAUAACGAACGAGACUCUAGCCUACUAAAUAGACUGCUCAACUUUAUAGCUGCAUCACCUUGCAGUUGCUUCGGUGGCUGUAAGGCUGUGGUGACGUUGGCAGUGCUUCUUAGAGGGACAGGCGGCGGUUCAGCCGCACGAAACAGAGCAAUAACAGGUCUGUGAUGCCCUUAGAUGUCCAGGGCCGCACGCAAGCUAAACUGAAGUGAUCAGCGUGCAAUUAACGUUUCCUACUCCGUCAGGAGUGGGUAACCCGUUGAACCUUCUUCGUGAUUGGGAUAGGGGAUUGUAAUUAUUCCCCUUGAACGAGGAAUUCCCAGUAAGCGCAAGUCAUAAGCUUGCGUUGAUUACGUCCCUGCCCUUUGUACACACCGCCCGUCGCUACUACCGAUUGAAUGAAUUAGUGAGGUCUUCGGACUGGCCUGUGAGGCUGUUUCGGCAGCCGCGCAUGGCUCGGGAAGAUGCCCAAACUUGUUCAUUUAGAGGAAGUAAAAGUCGUAACAAGGUUUCCGUAGGUGAACCUGCGGAAGGAUCAAGC